This 109-nucleotide ribosomal RNA is filed under the name Rhododendron molle. Lineage: Eukaryota; Viridiplantae; Streptophyta; Magnoliopsida; Ericales; Ericaceae. The record is from RNAcentral.
UGCGAUCAUACCAAAGACUAAUGCACCGGAUCCCAUCGGAACUCCGCAGUUAAGAGUGCUUGGGCGAGAGUAGUACUAGGAUGGUUGCUCGGAAGUCCUCGUGUUGCAC